Molecule: ribosomal RNA, 438 nt
Filed under: uncultured Granulosicoccaceae bacterium
Lineage: Bacteria; Pseudomonadati; Pseudomonadota; Gammaproteobacteria; Chromatiales; Granulosicoccaceae
Description: bacterial SSU rRNA
Rfam family: Bacterial small subunit ribosomal RNA
Source: RNAcentral
UCCUACGGGAGGCAGCAGUGGGGAAUAUUGGACAAUGGGGGCAACCCUGAUCCAGCAAUACCGCGUGUGUGAAGAAGGCCUGCGGGUUGUAAAGCACUUUCAGUGGGGAAGAAAAGCGGUUGACUAAUACUCAACGGUCUUGACGUUACCUACAGAAGAAGCACCGGCUAACUCCGUGCCAGCAGCCGCGGUAAUACGGAGGGUGCGAGCGUUAAUCGGAAUUACUGGGCGUAAAGCGCGCGUAGGCGGCUUGGUCAGUCAGAUGUGAAAUCCCAGGGCUCAACCUUGGAACUGCAUUUGAUACUGCCAGGCUAGAGUAUGUUAGAGGAAAGCGGAAUUCCGGGUGUAGCGGUGAAAUGCGUAGAUAUCCGGAGGAACAUCAGUGGCGAAGGCGGCUUUCUGGAACAAUACUGACGCUGAGGUGCGAAAGCGUGGGGA